GAUGAACGCUAGCGGCAGGCUUAAUACAUGCAAGUCGUGGGGCAGCACAGGUAGCAAUACUGGGUGGCGACCGGCAAACGGGUGCGGAACACGUACGCAACCUUCCUUUAAGCGGGGGAUAGCCCAGGGAAACUUGGAUUAAUACCCCAUAAGACAAUGGUGUGGCAUCACACAGUUGUUAAGGCUCCGGCACUUAAAGAUGGGCGUGCGGCUGAUUAGGUAGUUGGCGGGGUAACGGCCCACCAAGCCGACGAUCAGUAACUGGUGUGAGAGCACGACCAGUCACACGGGCACUGAGACACGGGCCCGACUCCUACGGGAGGCAGCAGUAAGGAAUAUUGGUCAAUGGACGCAAGUCUGAACCAGCCAUGCCGCGUGGAGGAUGAAGGCCCUCUGGGUUGUAAACUUCUUUUAUUGGGGAAGAAAUCUGUUUUUUCUAAAGCAGUUGACGGUACCCGAUGAAUAAGCACCGGCUAACUCCGUGCCAGCAGCCGCGGUAAUACGGAGGGUGCAAGCGUUAUCCGGAUUCACUGGGUUUAAAGGGUGCGUAGGUGGGCAGGUAAGUCAGUGGGGAAAUCUCUGGGCUUAACCCAGAAACUGCCGUUGAUACUAUCU
This 615-nucleotide ribosomal RNA is filed under the name uncultured bacterium. Its description in RNAcentral is "bacterial SSU rRNA". It matches the Rfam family "Bacterial small subunit ribosomal RNA", at positions 28 to 638 of the family's 1533-position model. The record is from RNAcentral.